GGAAACCUGCUUAGAGGUGGGGGUGCCCGAAAGGGAGCCGUAACACAGGUGCUGCAUGGCUGUCGUCAGCACGUGUCGUGAGAUGUUGGGUUAAGUCCCGCAACGAGCGCAACCCUUGUCCCCAGUUGCUACGCAAGAGCACUCCGGGGAGACUGCCGGUGACAAACCGGAGGAAGGUGGGGAUGACGUCAAGUCCUCAUGGCCCUUAUGGGUAGGGCUUCACACGUCAUACAAUGGUCGGAACAGAGGGUUGCGAAGCCGCGAGGUGGAGCCAAUCCCAGAAAACCGAUCGUAGUCCGGAUCGCAGUCUGCAACUCGACUGCGUGAAGCUGGAAUCGCUAGUAAUCGCGGAUCAGCAUGCCGCGGUGAAUACGUUCCCGGGUCUUGUACACACCG
Molecule: ribosomal RNA, 396 nt
Filed under: Paraburkholderia oxyphila
Lineage: Bacteria; Pseudomonadati; Pseudomonadota; Betaproteobacteria; Burkholderiales; Burkholderiaceae
Description: bacterial SSU rRNA
Rfam family: Bacterial small subunit ribosomal RNA
Source: RNAcentral